Non-coding RNA from Zootoca vivipara (common lizard), 507 nucleotides. Lineage: Eukaryota; Metazoa; Chordata; Lepidosauria; Squamata; Lacertidae. The record is from the annotation of a RefSeq genome assembly.
AAGGCAUGAACUUCAUUUCAUCAAGUCUGCUCAUAUUGUGCGGUUCAAGCCUAGAAGUGGAUUGAAUGGAAAUUCCUCUGUGAUUCUUCCCUUCUUCAUCCCCGAAAAAUGACUCUCCUGUGGACCUGGCCUGUCUUGAUCCUGGCAGUCUUAGAAGGGAGUGUUGGACAGUCAGUGGACCAAACAGAAGGCACCGUGCUUGUCACCCAAGGAGAGCGCAUCUCGCUCAACUGUUCCUACCAAGGGAAUGUCUACGAUCUGUUCUGGUACAUUCAGCAUCCAGGCCAACCUCUCAAGCUUUUCCUGAGUAGCCAUAACCCACGAGCAGAUGGGUCUCUUCUUGGCUUCAAAGCCGAGCGGACGAUGGACAAGAAAGACAAGGGGACUUACAACAUGGGGAAGACAGCCAGCGAGCUGAACGACUCUGCUGUCUAUUUCUGUGCCAUGAGAGACACAGAUAGACUCAUUUUCAUCACCCCCACAAUAUUCUGUGCUUUUCUUGAAUAG